GACGAACGCUGGCGGCGUGCUUAACACAUGCAAGUCAAACGGUAAGGCCCUUCGGGGUACACGAGUGGCGAACGGGUGAGUAACACGUGGGUGAUCUGCCCUGCACUUCGGGAUAAGCCUGGGAAACUGGGUCUAAUACCGGAUAGGACCACUGCCUGCAUGGGUGGUGGUGGAAAGCUUUUGCGGUGUGGGAUGGGCUCGCGGCCUAUCAGCUUGUUGGUGGGGUGAUGGCCUACCAAGGCGACGACGGGUAGCCGGCCUGAGAGGGUGACCGGCCACACUGGGACUGAGAUACGGCCCAGACUCCUACGGGAGGCAGCAGUGGGGAAUAUUGCACAAUGGGCGCAAGCCUGAUGCAGCGACGCCGCGUGAGGGAUGACGGCCUUCGGGUUGUAAACCUCUUUCAGCACCGACGAAGCGCAAGUGACGGUAGGUGCAGAAGAAGGACCGGCCAACUACGUGCCAGCAGCCGCCGUAA
This 478-nucleotide ribosomal RNA is filed under the name uncultured bacterium. RNAcentral describes it as "partial 16S ribosomal RNA". It matches the Rfam family "Bacterial small subunit ribosomal RNA", at positions 28 to 523 of the family's 1533-position model. The record is from RNAcentral.